RNAcentral lists this ribosomal RNA (253 nucleotides) under uncultured bacterium. Its description in RNAcentral is "partial 16S ribosomal RNA". It matches the Rfam family "Bacterial small subunit ribosomal RNA", at positions 524 to 776 of the family's 1533-position model. The record is from RNAcentral.
UACGUAGGGUGCAAGCGUUGUCCGGAAUUAUUGGGCGUAAAGAGCUCGUAGGCGGUUUGUCGCGUCUGCUGUGAAAACCCGAGGCUCAACCUCGGGCCUGCAGUGGGUACGGGCAGACUAGAGUGCGGUAGGGGAGAUUGGAAUUCCUGGUGUAGCGGUGGAAUGCGCAGAUAUCAGGAGGAACACCAAUGGCGAAGGCAGAUCUCUGGGCCGUAACUGACGCUGAGGAGCGAAAGCAUGGGGAGCGAACGGG